GACGAACGCUGACGGUGUGCUUUAGACAUGCAAGUCGAACGCGAAAGCCCUUCGGGGUUAGUAGAGUGGCGAACGGGUGAGUAACACGUGGGCAAUCUGCCCCUCGCAGGGGGACAACCGGAGGAAACUCCGGCUAAUACCCGUACGCUUGCUGGACCGCAUGGUCCGGCAAGGAAAGGUAGCUUCGGCCAUCCGGCGAGGGAUGAGCCCGCGGUGCAUUAGCUAGUUGGUGAGGUAACGGCNCACCAAGGCAACGAUGCAUAGCUGGUCUGAGAGGAUGAUCAGCCACACUGGGACUGAGACACGGCCCAGACUCCUACGGGAGGCAGCAGUCGGGAAUCUUGCGCAAUGGGCGAAAGCCUGACGCAGCAACACCGUGUGAGCGAACGAAGGCCUUCGGGU
This 402-nucleotide ribosomal RNA is filed under the name uncultured bacterium. Its description in RNAcentral is "bacterial SSU rRNA". It matches the Rfam family "Bacterial small subunit ribosomal RNA", at positions 28 to 423 of the family's 1533-position model. The record is from RNAcentral.